Molecule: ribosomal RNA, 439 nt
Filed under: uncultured bacterium
Lineage: Bacteria
Description: partial 16S ribosomal RNA
Rfam family: Bacterial small subunit ribosomal RNA
Source: RNAcentral
CUACGGGGGGCAGCAGUGGGGAAUAUUGCACAAUGGGGGAAACCCUGAUGCAGCAACGCCGCGUGGAGGAUGACGCAUUUCGGUGUGUAAACUCCUUUUAUAUAGGAAGAUAAUGACGGUACUAUAUGAAUAAGCACCGGCUAACUCCGUGCCAGCAGCCGCGGUAAUACGGAGGGUGCAAGCGUUACUCGGAAUCACUGGGCGUAAAGCGCGCGCAGGCGGACUUUUAAGUUGGAUGUGAAAGCCUAUGGCUUAACCAUAGAACUGCAUCCAAAACUAUCAGGCUAGAGUCUGGGAGGGGAAGAUGGAAUUAGUUGUGUAGGGGUAAAAUCCGUAGAGAUAACUAGGAAUACCAAAAGCGAAGGCGAUCUUCUGGAACAGUACUGACGCUGAGGCGCGAAAGCGUGGGGAGCAAACAGGAUUAGAUACCCUCGUAGUC